GCCGGGUGUGGUGGUGCAUGCCUGUAAUUCCAGCUACUUGGGAGGCUGAGGCAGGAGAAUUGCUUGAACCCAGGAGGUGGAGGCUGCAGUGAGCUGAGAUCAUGCCACUUCACUCCAGCCUGGGUGACAAAGCGAGACUCUGUCUCAA
This 148-nucleotide small RNA is filed under the name Pongo abelii (Sumatran orangutan). RNAcentral describes it as "Metazoan signal recognition particle RNA (ENSPPYG00000035626.1)". Lineage: Eukaryota; Metazoa; Chordata; Mammalia; Primates; Hominidae. The record is from Rfam by way of RNAcentral.